AGUCGGACGGGAUUGAGGAGCUUGCUUCUCAUGAGAGUGGCGCACGGGUGCGUAACACGUAUGUAACCUACCUUGUUCAGGGGGAUAGCCUCUCGAAAGAGAGAUUAACACCGCAUAAAAUCAAUUUAUGGCAUCAUAGAAUGAUCAAAUAUUUAUAGGAACAAGAUGGGCAUGCGGAACAUUAGCUAGUUGGUAAGGUAACGGCUUACCAAGGCUACGAUGUUUAGGGGAUCUGAGAGGAUGACCCCCCACACUGGUACUGAGACACGGACCAGACUCCUACGGGAGGCAGCAGUAAGGAAUAUUGGUCAAUGGACGCAAGUCUGAACCAGCCAUGCCGCGUGCAGGAAGAUGGCCCUACGGGUUGUAAACUGCUUUUGUACCGGAAUAAACCUUUUCACGUGUGAGAAGCUGAAUGUACGGUAAGAAUAAGGAUCGGCUAACUCCGUGCCAGCAGCCGCGGUAAUACGGAGGAUCCAAGCGUUAUCCGGAUUUAUUGGGUUUAAAGGGUGCGUAGGUGGCCUAUUAAGUCAGGGGUGAAGGACGGUAGCUUAACUAUCGCAGUGCCUUUGAUACUGAUGGGCUUGAAUACACUUGAGGUAGGCGGAAUGUGACAAGUAGCGGUGAAAUGCAUAGAUAUGUCACAGAACACCAAUUGCGAAGGCAGCUUACUAAAGUGUUAUUGACACUGAGGCACGAAAGCGUGGGGAUCAAACAGGAUUAGAUACCCUGGUAGUCCACGCCCUAAACGAUGAAUACUCGAUGUUGGCGAUAUACGGUCAGCGUCUAAGCGAAAGCGUUAAGUAUUCCACCUGGGGAGUACGCCCGCAAGGGUGAAACUCAAAGGAAUUGACGGGGGCCCGCACAAGCGGA
Molecule: ribosomal RNA, 873 nt
Filed under: uncultured bacterium
Lineage: Bacteria
Description: bacterial SSU rRNA
Rfam family: Bacterial small subunit ribosomal RNA
Source: RNAcentral